This 301-nucleotide ribosomal RNA is filed under the name uncultured bacterium. Its description in RNAcentral is "partial 16S ribosomal RNA". It matches the Rfam family "Bacterial small subunit ribosomal RNA", at positions 509 to 807 of the family's 1533-position model. The record is from RNAcentral.
CAGUCGCCACGGUAAUACGAAGGGUGCAAGCGUUAAUCGGAAUUACUGGGCGUAAAGCGUGCGUAGGCGGUGAGUUAAGUCUGCUGUGAAAUCCCCGGGCUCAACCUGGGAAUGGCAGUGGAUACUGGCUCGCUAGAGUGUGUCAGAGGAUGGUGGAAUUCCCGGUGUAGCGGUGAAAUGCGUAGAGAUCGGAAGGAACACCUGUGGCGAAAGCGGCUCACUGGACAAUUACUGACGCUGAUGCACGAAAGCUAGGGGAGCAAACAGGAUUAGAUACCCGUGUAGUCCCUGUCUCUUAUAC